This 497-nucleotide ribosomal RNA is filed under the name uncultured bacterium. RNAcentral's name for it is "partial 16S ribosomal RNA". It matches the Rfam family "Bacterial small subunit ribosomal RNA", at positions 28 to 507 of the family's 1533-position model. The record is from RNAcentral.
GAUGAACGCUGGCGGCGUGCCUAAUACAUGCAAGUCGAGCGAACAGACGAGGAGCUUGCUCCUCUGACGUUAGCGGCGGACGGGUGAGUAACACGUGGAUAACCUACCUAUAAGACUGGGAUAACUUCGGGAAACCGGAGCUAAUACCGGAUAAUAUAUUGAACCGCAUGGUUCAAUAGUGAAAGACGGUUUUGCUGUCACUUAUAGAUGGAUCCGCGCCGCAUUAGCUAGUUGGUAAGGUAACGGCUUACCAAGGCAACGAUGCGUAGCCGACCGGAGAGGGUGAUCGGCCACCCUGGAACUGAGACACGGUCCCGACUCCUACGGGAGGCAGCAGUAGGGAAUCUUCCGCAAUGGGCGAAAGCCUGACGGAGCAACGCCGCGUGAGUGAUGAAGGUCUUCGGAUCGUAAAACUCUGUUAUUAGGGAAGAACAAAUGUGUAAGUAACUAUGCACGUCUUGACGGUACCUAAUCAGAAAGCCACGGCUAACUACGUG